GAGUUUGAUCCUGGCUCAGAACGAACGUUGGCGGCGUGGAUUAGGCAUGCAAGUCGAACGCGAAAGUUUCCUUCGGGGAACGAGUAGAGUGGCGAACGGGUGAGUAAUGCGUAGAUGACCUACCCAAAUGAUCGGGACAACCACUCGAAAGGGUGGCUAAUACCGGAUGUGGUCGGAUUCCUGCGGGUUUUUGACGAAAGAUGGCCUCUGAUUAAAGCUGUCGCAUUUGGAGGGGUUUACGUGCUAUUAGCUUGUUGGUGGGGUAACGGCCUACCAAGGCAAUGAUGGCUAGCCGGCCUGAGAGGGUGUCCGGCCACACUGGGACUGAGACACUGCCCAGACUCCUACGGGAGGCUGCAGUCGAGAAUCUUCCACCAAUGCGCGAAAGCGUGAUGGAGCAACGCCGCGUGUGCGAUGAAGGCUUUCGGGUUGUAAAGCACUGUUGGAAGGGCGUAAUCGCCAUCGGUUAAUACCCGUGUGGUUUGAACUCCCUUCGGAGGAAGCACCGGCUAAAUUCGUGCCAGCAGCCGCGGUAAUACGAAUGGUGCAAACGUUGUUCGGAAUCACUGGGCAUAAAGAGCACGUAGGCGGCUCAGUCAGUCAGCUGUGAAAUCCCUCGGCUCAACCGAGGAACUGCAGCUGAUACUGCUGAGCUAGAGUACGGGAGGGGAGAGCGGAAUUCCUGGUGGAGCGGUGAUAUGUGUAGAUAUCAGGAGGAACGCCGGAGGCGAAAGCGGCUCUCUGGUCGUAACUGACGCUGAGGUGCGAAAGCUAGGGGAGCAAACAGGAUUAGAUACCCUGGUAGUCCUAGCUGUAAACGAUGGGCACUAAGUAGGGGGACUCCCAAGGUUUCCCUGCCGGAGCUAAUGUGUUAAGUGCCCCGCCUGGGAAGUACGGUCGCAAGGCUGAAACUCAAAGGAAUUGACGGGGGCUCACACAAGCGGUGGAGCAUGUUGUUUAAUUCGACGCAACGCGAAGAACCUUACCUGGGCUUGACAUUCAUGUGGUACCAAACCGAAAGGGGCGGGACCGUCUUUUGGCGGAGCAUGAACAGGUAUUGCAUGGCUGUCGUCAGCUCGUGUCGUGAGAUGUUGGGUUAAGUCCCGUAACGAGCGCAACCCUUGUCCUUAGUUGCCAGCGGAUCAUGCCGGGGACUCUAGGGAGACUGCCGGUGUUAAACCGGAGGAAGGCGGGGAUGACGUCAAGUCAUCAUGGUCCUUACGCCCAGGGCUACAAACGUGCUACAAUGGUCGGUACAAAGAGACGCUAGGCCGCGAGGUCAUGCAAAUCUCAAAAAGCCGGCCCCAGUUCGGAUUGGAGGCUGCAAUUCGCCUCCAUGAAGUCGGAAUCGCUAGUAAUCGCAGAUCAGCCAUGCUGCGGUGAAUAUGUUCCUGAGCCUUGCACACAC
Molecule: ribosomal RNA, 1408 nt
Filed under: uncultured bacterium
Lineage: Bacteria
Description: bacterial SSU rRNA
Rfam family: Bacterial small subunit ribosomal RNA
Source: RNAcentral